RNAcentral lists this small RNA (857 nucleotides) under Pongo abelii (Sumatran orangutan). RNAcentral describes it as "retained intron". Lineage: Eukaryota; Metazoa; Chordata; Mammalia; Primates; Hominidae. The record is from RNAcentral.
UUCUCCAGUCGUCUGAUUAGGGGAUUUUUAUAUACACCAUUUGUUGAUUAAAAAAAAAAAAACAAAAUUAGGAGGAGCGUACUUGCUAGAAAAUUUAAAUUUAAAUAAACUUGUGUGUUAUCUUGAAAUGUUUUUAGCUAGCUUUGUAAUAAAAAACAUUUUAAUUGCCCUUUUUUUUAAAAAAAAUGAAAGUUGAAUGAGAAUCUAAUUUGUGUACUUUAAUGAAAAAUGAAAAGUUUUCUCAGUGUUGUGAUUUUCUGUGAAUUGCAGUUGAAUGGCGGUGGGGACGUAGCAAUGCUUGAACUUACAGGACAGAAUUUCACUCCAAAUUUACGAGUGUGGUUUGGGGAUGUAGAAGCUGAAACUAUGUACAGGUGUGGAGAGAGUAUGCUCUGUGUCGUCCCAGACAUUUCUGCAUUCCGAGAAGGUUGGAGAUGGGUCCGGCAACCAGUCCAGGUUCCAGUAACUUUGGUCCGAAAUGAUGGAAUCAUUUAUUCCACCAGCCUUACCUUUACCUACACACCAGAACCAGGGCCACGGCCACAUUGCAGUGCAGCAGGAGCAAUCCUUCGAGCCAAUUCAAGCCAGGUGCCCCCUAAUGAAUCAAACACAAACAGCGAGGGAAGUUACACAAACGCCAGCACAAAUUCAACCAGUGUCACAUCAUCUACAGCCACAGUGGUAUCCUAACUACCGUCUUUUUGCUAGGACUUAAACUGACUUGAGUGUGGCAAAAAGUUAACAGAAAAGGAGGAAAAAUGAACAAUCGUUUGUGGUUUCUUGGGAAAACUUUUCAUACCAGGUGAUACUAUUCAAAAACCCCGUUAUCUCUCUGCAAGUGCUGAUUUGAAAUGCAG